This 500-nucleotide ribosomal RNA is filed under the name uncultured bacterium. Its description in RNAcentral is "partial 16S ribosomal RNA". It matches the Rfam family "Bacterial small subunit ribosomal RNA", at positions 28 to 507 of the family's 1533-position model. The record is from RNAcentral.
GACGAACGCUGGCGGCGUGCCUAAUACAUGCAGGUCGAGCGGACUGAUUAAGAGCUUGCUCUUAUGACGUCAGCGGCGGACGGGUGAGUAACACGUGGGCAACCUGCCCUGUAGAUCGGGAUAACACCGAGAAAUCGGUGCUAAUACCGGGUAAUAUCUGAGAUCACAUGAUCUUAGGUUAAAAGAUGGCUCCGGCUAUCACUACAGGAUGGGCCCGCGGCGCAUUAGCUAGUUGGUAAGGUAAUGGCUUACCAAGGCGACGAUGCGUAGCCGACCUGAGAGGGUGAUCGGCCACACUGGGACUGAGACACGGCCCAGACUCCUACGGGAGGCAGCAGUAGGGAAUCUUCCGCAAUGGACGAAAGUCUGACGGAGCAACGCCGCGUGAGUGAUGAAGGGUUUCGGCUCGUAAAGCUCUGUUGUUAGGGAAGAAACAGUACCGAACGAACUAGGUCGGUACCUUGACGGUACCUAACCAGAAAGCCACGGCUAACUACGUG